This 200-nucleotide unclassified non-coding RNA is filed under the name Melitaea cinxia (Glanville fritillary). Its description in RNAcentral is "misc RNA ENSMCXG00005010704.1". Lineage: Eukaryota; Metazoa; Arthropoda; Insecta; Lepidoptera; Nymphalidae. The record is from RNAcentral.
AUCAAAUGUUCAGGUAUGCUUAAAAAAGCAAGUCAAAUCUAAAACAUCGUCAUCUAGGCGUAGUGAGACCAAAGAGUAUUUUUUAGAAACUGCAAAUGGACGUGUUCAAGUCUGCAAGCAUACUUUUUUGAAUACGUUUGAUAUCAAGGAAUGGACAGUACGCUAUUGGCGUUUCAGAAGGACACUUAAAGAAAGAUGAG